Molecule: ribosomal RNA, 482 nt
Filed under: uncultured bacterium
Lineage: Bacteria
Description: partial 16S ribosomal RNA
Rfam family: Bacterial small subunit ribosomal RNA
Source: RNAcentral
GACGAACGCUGGCGGCGUGCUUAACACAUGCAAGUCGAACGAUGAAGAAGAGAAACGCGAACUUCGGUUCAAAUUUCACUUCAGAUUAGUGGCAGACGGGUGAGUAACGCGUGAGCAACCUACCUCUUACAAAGGGAUAGCCUCGGGAAACCGUGAUUAAUACCAUAUGACACAUUCAUAAGGCAUCUUAAGAAUGUUAAAGCUACGGCGGUAAGAGAUGGGCUCGCGUCCCAUUAGCUAGUUGGUGAGGUAACGGCCCACCAAGGCGACGAUGGGUAACCGGCCUGAGAGGGUGAACGGUCACAUUGGAACUGAGACACGGUCCAAACUCCUACGGGAGGCAGCAGUGGGGAAUAUUGCACAAUGGAGGGAACUCUGAUGCAGCGACGCCGCGUGAGCGAUGAAGGAAUUCGUGUCGUAAAGCUCUGUUCUAUGGGAAGAAAAGGACUGUACCAUAGGAGAAAGCCCCGGCUAAAUACGUG